UGGGGAAUCUUGCACAAUGGGCGAAAGCCUGAUGCAGCCAUGCCGCGUGGAUGAUGAAGGCCCUAGGGUUGUAAAAUCCUUUCGCCAGGGAUGAUAAUGACAGUACCUGGUAAAGAAGCCCCGGCUAACUUCGUGCCAGCAGCCGCGGUAAUACGAAGGGGGCUAGCGUUGUUCGGAAUUACUGGGCGUAAAGCGCGCGUAGGCGGACUCUUAAGCCAGAUGUGAAAUCCCGGGGCUCAACCCCGGAACUGCAUUUGGAACUGGGAGUCUAGAGUUCAGGAGAGGUUCGUGGAAUGCCGAGUGUAGAGGUGAAAUUCGUAGAUAUUCGGAGGAACACCAGUGGCGAAGGCGGCUCACUGGCUCGAUACUGACGCUGAGGUGCGAAAGUGUGGGGAGCAAACAGGAUUAGAUACCCGCGUAGUCC
This 424-nucleotide ribosomal RNA is filed under the name uncultured prokaryote. RNAcentral describes it as "bacterial SSU rRNA". It matches the Rfam family "Bacterial small subunit ribosomal RNA", at positions 355 to 796 of the family's 1533-position model. The record is from RNAcentral.